Small nucleolar RNA from Struthio camelus australis, 83 nucleotides. Lineage: Eukaryota; Metazoa; Chordata; Aves; Struthioniformes; Struthionidae. The record is from Ensembl.
UGAUGAGAAGUCUCCGGAAUCGCUGUACCACGUUGAUGAUUCCCUUGAACCCUUGUAUAUCUGAUGACUGCGGCUGCAUAGAC